UUAGUCUCAGUUCGGAUUGUAGGCUGAAACUCGCCUACAUGAAGCUGGAGUUGCUAGUAAUCGCGAAUCAGCAUGUCGCGGUGAAUACGUUCCCGGGCCUUGUACACACCGCCCGUCACACCAUGAGAGUUGGCAAUACCCAACGUACGUGAUCUAACCCGCAAGGGAGGAAGCGUCCUAAGGUAGGGUCAGCGAUUGGGGUGAAGUCGUAACAAGGUACC
This 221-nucleotide ribosomal RNA is filed under the name uncultured bacterium. Its description in RNAcentral is "partial 16S ribosomal RNA". It matches the Rfam family "Bacterial small subunit ribosomal RNA", at positions 1282 to 1500 of the family's 1533-position model. The record is from RNAcentral.